UUUUUAUGAACCAUAUAUCUCAAAUCCCUGAAAAUUUCCCAGAAAAAUUGAAAGAUAUUUUAACUUAUCUUUUUAAAGCCGAAAAAUAUAUAGAUAUUUCUUUUGAAACCAUUCCACCUUUAUUUCAACCCGAUGGAUCAGUAGUACCAGCCUAUCAUCAUGUAUAUAUAAAACAUAAUAAAGAACCACUCAUCCCUCAACAAGAACCAGAAUGGGAAAUGACCCGUUCAAAUGAAUUUCCAGAAUUUUUUACUCGCUUUAGAGCUUUUCAAAUCUAUGAUCUUAUACCAACCCGGAAUAAAUUAUUUCAUCUCAUUGGCGAAACAAAAACCAUGUCUAUAUGGAGAAUAAAACCUUUAGAACACAUCAUUGUUCCAAACCCUUUUAUUACUUCUGAAGAACAGGAUUUUAUAACCGAACUCAGUGUAGAUAUACCGGAACCAUCUUCCUACCUCAGCGAUGACGCAUUAUUUUGGGACAACCUGGACGAUGAAAGUUAUCAUAAUCUACAAAAUGCAAUGGAAGGAUGAUGUCAGCAAUGACGAUAUUGAAGCAGUAAAUGCGUCUUCAACUACAAAAAUUAAAUAUGACAGUGCAAGUUCAGAAGCAGUAAAGACAUCCACAAGCCACGUAUUAUGCAUGCAAUAAAAAGAAGAAAAAGGACAAGAGAAAGAGACAAGAAGGGAGAAGAACGGAUGAAUAAACAAAAGUCAAAGUCUCAAAAGUCUUUGUAUUUAUUACCAAACCUCUGAACACCGUAAAUAUUUUUCCUACCAUCCAACCACUUGAAAUUAAUUUUCACCUGUAAUCUCACCUGUCACUUGUAAAUGCUUUGCCUAUAAAUUAGUGGUAGAAAAAGAAAAGAGGUGUGCCCGAGAAAGUGUGUGCAAUAGUGUGCAAAGUUGUCUGUAAAAAGAAGCUCCAUCAUCUUCAUCUUUGUAAAUUCAUCAGCAAUCAAUAAGAAAGUAAGAAUUUUCUGUUAAAUUUUUUGCCUUCAUUUAAAUUUCUUUAUCAUGUAUUUUUCUUACCCUUAGGGGGUAAAAAGGGGUAAAAAGGUAAAGUAGGGAAAUGAAAAUUAUUUGAAUUAUUUUUAAGUUUUCUUUACUAGUUAAUAUAUGUAAUAUACAUGGAUCCUUUUUAUAUAAUGUUCUCAUCAACAUAAAAAAAAAAAAAAAAAAAAAAAAAAAAUCGGGUUAUUUAGAAAAUUUUGGGUGUAAAAUCAUGUUUUAAAAACUAGAGUCUUUAGUCUUAACCCUUGACCUCAAACCCGUUUUUGCCGGAAAAUUGGCGUUUUAGGGAGACUAUGUCUGGUCAGAAGGGGGGUAUUACCUUGACACGAAGUGAUGUUUUAAUUGAAUUUUACUACCUGAAUUUUUGAGAUAUCCGAUUUAAAAAACUUAAAUUUUAUACGUUCAUAAGCACAAAACCCUUUUAUUAUUUUAUUAGGUGUUUGAAAAUUUUAUAUUAUUUUAAUAAGUCUUUGUAAAAUUUUACACUAUAAUAUUAAGUUUUCCAAAAACCUUAUAUUAAAAUAUUAAGUUGAAAAAUAUUUUUAUAUUAAAAUAUUAAGUUGUUUAAAAAUUUUAUAUUAUUUUAAUAAGUCUUUGUAAAAUUUUACACUAUUUUACACUAUAUACACUUGAAUUUUCACUUUCAAAGUCUAAUUCACUAAUAAGUUCUUCUUCUUCACUAUCUAGCUGAUACUCAUUUAUUAGGUUUAUUUUUAAUUGGGUUUUUCUAUUUCGUUCAUUUAAUGGUUUUUUAAGCUCAGGACAUUCAGGUCUUAUAUGGCCUUCCUGACCACACAAAUAACAUUUACACUGUCUUUUUCUUUCUAAGGUUCUUUUUCUUUUUAUCCAAAGCUUUCCAGGUUUUUUAUACCUUGUAUGAUAUGGUCGUUUUUUAUAAAAGGUUUUUGACUUUCUUCUUAAAAAUUUAUUAUAUCUCUUAGGUUUUCUAAACUUAUAUUCUCUGCAUCCUAUAUCUAGAUUUUCUCCUAUAUGUAAUUUUCUACAAAGUUGUUGAUUUAUGUCUUGUUUCUUUAUCUGACUUCUUUCUCCUAUGCUUACACAUUCUCUUUCUAACCAAUUUUUUACAAAUUCUAUUCUAGCACCUAUAUAAGGAGAGUUUUUAUACUCGGAGGUUGUAAAUUCAUUCCAUAGUCUAAGUCCUACGGGUCCUUGUAUUUUUAAUAUAUAUUUAUUUAAAUAUUCUGGGGUUCUGUCUACUCUAGCAAGGAUUGCAUAUUUCCUAAAUUUUUGUUCAUAUUCUCUUAUAUAUGAAAGGUUACAUAAUUUCAAUUGUUCUAACUUAUGAAGGUAUAUUACAGGUUCCUUUACAUCUUCUUGUGUUGUUCCUAAAAAAUAAAGUUUUAUUAGAUUUAUAAAUACAGAUAUGCUAAAAUUAUUUAUGACUUCUUGAAAAUAGCUGCUGUUUUCUUGUUCCAUGUUUCUAAAAAAUUGUAGUACGGUUCCUCUAAGGGUGCUUUUACAAAAUUCAUAAAUUUCUUGUUGGUUUUCAAAGGAUACUACCACACCUGCUGAAUUUAAAGAUUGCUCCCAAUUUUCUAUGGUUUUUCUAAGAUCUUGCGCACUAUCUAUAUCUAAUAUUGUUCCAUAUUCGUAUAUUGGUUGCAAAGAACUAGAAGGUUCUGUUUUAGUUUUCCAUUGAGGUCCUUUUGGCUUGCUAUACGACUUAUUGUAUUUUACUAUUUCACUUUUUACAUUUACAAUUUCUUUUUCUUCAUUUAUUGUAUUUAUUGAUUCGUUUGAGAUUAUUUCUAUGUUUUCGUUAACUUUUGGUUGAAUAGUAAAUUGAUUUAUCAUUUCUAUAUCUAUAAGUUUUUUGAUUAAAUUGGUUUUAUAGAGUUGUUCUAUUAUUUGGUCAUCUGUAUAGUUGUUACACAUUAUAUUAGCAAAGUUUUCUUGAUCCACUUGUUCAUCUAGUAAUGUUGGAUUACUAAAUUCCUCUAACAUUAUAUUUACUAACUCUGAGUUUUUGUAUAGGUUUUCUACUGUCUCAAUGUUUAGUAAAAUAUCUUCUUGUAUAACAUUUACAUUUUCUAUCUCAUUAUCUGACUCUACCUCUACAUUUACAGUUUUAUAAUUUCCAAAGGUUAUACUUGCACUUCCAUCUUGGUUUUCAUAUAAGCUACUGGAUGUUGGAUAUCUUAUUAUUGGUUUAUUUAUUUGAGGUAAUUCCCACUCUUGUCCUAGUAAAUAGUCUAUAUUUACAGGUUUUGCUUCUAUCAUAUUUACUGUCUUACUUCCAAAGGUUUUUACUAUAUCAUCGAAUUCCAUCAUACAUUUUAAACUUAAAGCAUUAGUAGUUUUUCCUAUAAAUCCUAUAGCUAUGCUAAGGUUUUUACUUCCUACUUCCAUAUCAUAACCUUUAGUAUUUACAGUUAUUUUUAUUUUUUCUGUGAAUUCCUUAAGAUCUAUACAAAAUUGAGGUAUACAACCAAUAACUGCGUAAUUUUGGUUCAUAUUAACUUCUGCACUAGCUAAAAGAGCUCGUCCUACUGUGUUGUUUCUAGUAUCUAAAAGGUUAAUAUUUAUAAGUGCUCCAAUUUCUUUACGAUGAAGUCCUAUUAUUCCUAUCAAAAUUAUUCCUAGGUGCAUAUAUUUAUCGGUUUUAUUUUUUAAUAAUUUUUGUUUUGUUUCUGGAGAUACUAAAUCUAAAUAUACAAUAUUUCCUAUUGAACUUAUAGUAUGUUGAUUUAAAAAUCUAGUUAUUUUAUAAUUUUGAACUAAUUGUUUUUUGUAAGGUGUUACUUCCUUUACUGCCUUUUUUGAUUUUUCUUCAAUAAAUUCUUUUACAUUAUCUCGAGGGUUUAUUGCUUCUACUAUUUCCAUGGUUUUAUUGCUAGAUUUUUUGGUUCAAAAGGAUUUAUUUUUCUUUCUAUUUUGAUUAUUGGUUUUUCUCCUAAAUUAAAGUUUUCAAAUUGUUUUAAAAGGUUAUUUAAUUUUUGUUCCUCUGAUAUUACUAUAUUUCUUUGUUCUAAAAGUUUAUCUACUUUUUGGUUAAUUUUUUCUAAAGUUUCUUUUAAAUUUUGUUGUUCUAAUUUUAUUUGUUCUAUUUCUUUUCUAACAAAUUUUUCUUCUCUAGCUAAUUGUUCUUUAAUAUAAUCUAGGUUAUUUCUUAGCAAAUUAUGGUUCUUAAAGUCUUCCAGCUUCUUUUCUAAUUCCUAAGACCGUGUUCAGUUUUUCUACAGAUUUUAUUUGUCUUUUCUGGAUUUCUUUUAAAAUAUCUAUAAAUCAAUCAUUCAUAAGGAAAUCACAUAUGUUGGACCCCCACCAAAGCCCGAUCUAUAUUGCAUGAAUUAAUCUCAUAAAUUUCAUUAUUCGGAAUUACGGAAAAUUCGUUCCUACUUAUUAAAAUCAAGAGGAGCAGAAGAUCAUUUGAAAACCAAAAUAGAAUUAAAAAUAUUUGAGAGAAAAUUAGAUUUUUGAAAUUCAAUUGAAAAAUUGGAACCUUGAAGAUCACUAGAAAAUUGGAGUUUUAAAGUUUAUUUGAAGAUCAGACUUUUAGAGAUUGAAUGUGAGAAUGAGAAUUUUUAGAAAUUGAAUUUGAAAAAAUGUUGGAGAAUUUGAAAAAUGAUUUGAGAGUUCGGGAUUUAAAAUAAGUGGAUAAGCGGAGCGAAUAAGUAAAUCAAUGGGAUAGUGACGAUGGUGAAAUAAUAAAGAUCAGGUAAAUAAUUACGAGAGAUGGAAUUUUUAGAGGUUGGAGAUUAAACUUAUAGAUUAAAAAUUUAAGAAAUUAUUUAGAGAUGAGAUCUUUAAUAUAUGAACAAGUGAACAAAUAAAUGGACGUGAUGACAUUAAUAACGAAAAUAAUUACUAAACAGUUGAAUGUGAACAGUGGAGUUUUUGAUAUUGGAAAUUAAAUUUGGACGUUGGGUUUUUGAAGAAUUGGACUUUAAUUGUAUGAAUAAAUAGAUGACCAUGAGAUAAUAAUACUAGUUAACGAGAAUAAUAUUUAGGCGAAUAAAGAUGAAUAGUAGGAUUUUGGGGAUUGAAAAUUUAAUUAGGACAUUGGAUUCUUGAAGAAUUGGGCUUUAAGGAAUGAGAUUUUUAAGGAGGAUGAGUAAACACAUGAGGAAUACUAAUAAUGAUUAACAAACAUAAUAUUUAAACAAAUGAAAUUGAAUAGUGGAAAUUUGUGUGAUUGAAGAUUAAUUUGAAACUCGGGUUCCGACAAAAAUGAUGUUUGAACGGGUGAAAGUGAGUAGUGGGAGUUUGAAAAUUAAGUUCGAAAGUCGGAUCUUUGAAUAAUUGAACUUUGAUUAUUAAAAUUUUUAGAAGAAAGAAAUAAGUAAACGUGGGAUUUAUAAUAAUGAUAACAAAAAAUGAUAUUUUUAAAUGAAUAAAAGUAAAUGGUGGAAUUUUUGAAUCUAAGGGUUAAAUUUGAAAAUCCGAUUUUGAGGAAUUGAAUUUUAACGAUUGAAAUAAAUAAAUAAAUAUGGAAUAAUGAUGCUAAUUAACAAAAAUGAUGUUUAAACAAAUAAAAAGAAUGAAUAGUGGAAUUUUUCUAAUUGAAAAUUAAAUUAGGGCAUUGGAUUUUUUUAAAGAUUAGACUUUGAAUAAAUUGCUAGGUAUGGGAUUAUAAUACUAAUGAAUACGAAUAAUAUUUAGGCGAACAAAGAUGAAUAGUGGAAUUUUUGGGAUUGAUAAUUUAAUUCAGAAAUUGGAUUUUCGGAGAAUCGGACCUUAUAUAAGUAAAUAGAUAUGGAAUGAGAAUUCUAAUUAGCAAAAAUAAAAUUUAGACGAAUAGCGGAAUUUCUAGGAUUGAAAAAUUAAAUUAGUAUAUGAGAUUUUUGAAUGAUUGGACUUUAAAUAACUGGAUGAAUAUAUGAUGAUAAUUCCAAUUGAUGAAAAUAAGACUUAAAUCAAUUAAUGAAAAAUUAAAUUAAGAUAUGGAAUUUCUGAAAGGGUUAGACUUUAAAUAGUUAGAUAAUAUGAGAUAAAUAAUUCUAAUGGAUAAAAAUGAUAUUUGAACUAAUUAUUGAAAAGUUAAAUUAAGAUAUGUGGUUACUUUGAAAGAUUUAGACUUUAAAUAGUUAGAUAAUAUGAGAUAAAUAAUUCUAAAGGAUGAAAAUGAUAUUUGAAUUAAUUAUUGAAAAAUUAAAUUAAGCCAUGGGAUUUUUGAAAGAUUAGAGGUAUAGAGAGAUUUAUUUCUUUUUGGAAUUGAGGCAACCAAAUGGGCUAGCUCAACAUGGGCUUGGGCCAUGAGGGUGGCUAGCUUGAGGAGCCAUGAGGCCCCCCCAUCAACAAGCUUGGGCUGGGCUCCAAACUCAAGUCCACAUCCAUGCUAUGGGCAAGCCCAAUGGGCUGACUUGAUCACAAACUUGGGCUGGUGCUCCAACCCAAGCCCAAAUCCAAAGCUACCAUGGGCGGGCUCAAAAACCCAUCUCAAACCCAAGCCCAAAACUUCAUCUUCCUCCAGCUUGCUUCUCCACCCGAAUAUCAUCCUCAAAGGGAGCUCCCACCACCGGCGGCAAGAUGGAGAGAGAAGUCGUGGCGGCGGUCCGGCGGCAUCCAGAAGGUGCCGCCGUCACGGUGGCUGGUGCAAGUGCCCACAUGGCUGGAGCGGUGAUGGCGGUUGGUGAGGAGCAGUGGCGGCAGUCCCGGGGUGCUUGCAGCAAAGAAAAAAAAAUGAAGGAUGGGGCGGCUCGCGUGCAUGGGGCACCGCUUGCAUGGGAAUCCAAGAUGGUGAAACAAAUGGGUAUGAAGAUGAGUGGGGACAUUAUUGAUAGCAUGGACGGCUGGUGAUAAUGGAGAUAUGAAUCACAAAGUGGUGGGAUGGGUAUGAGGAGUUUAAUGAGAGAAAGCGGGUGUGAGAAGUUCGGUAAGUGCAAGUGAGAAGUUCAUGAAGAUUUUUGAGAGGAUGGGAGGUGGAUGAACGACCUGGUUCACUGAACCUCGGCAGGUUGGUUAGUGAAGGCAUUGCUCCACCAAUCAGUCAAAAACAGAGUGAUAAAGAGAGGAAGAAAAGCAUGGAAAUAUAGAGUGAACCUAGCUAUAUUUCAUGGGUAGUCAAUAGAGCUGGGGGCAGGCAUCAUAAACAUGGGACAAGAGCAUGAUUCUUUUAUCCAUAUCAGGUUCGUGAAUGAAGUCACGCGUCAAAUGUUCGCAGGGGAAGCCCAGGAAGCCAAAGAAAAAUUAAACAGAGCAUACAUACACAUAAACAGCUUUAGCAAAACAAAUCAGUAAUUUUUGGUGCCCAAACCGAUCAACAGAAAAUAAAUCAUACCUAUGAACCCAGAGAGUUUCUUCUGUGUGGCAGCAAAGGCACCCCUCCUCCUUCCAGCUUUCUUUUUUUUUUCCUCUCUUCCUCUUUGAAUCUCUCCUUUUCUCCUAGCCCCUCUCUCCGUUCUCCUUCUUUUCCCUUUCUCCUAUCUUCUCGGCAAGCCAUCACCUGCUUUCCUGUUUCAGCAGUCAGCAGCAUGGCGUCUCUUGCAGCUGGUCCCACGCAUGGAGAGGGGUCCCCCCCACACUUCUCGGGUGCAGCAUGAGGGGUCUACAGCUAGAUAUAGAUAUGGUAUCUUAAGAACCAAUUACACAUAUCUUAUCCUAUCCCACCCACCACACUUAUCUCAGAUGUAAAAGGUAAAGAUAUGCCUGAUUGAUAUCAAUAGUCAGCAUAAAGCAGCCCUUAAGUCCUCAUUCUUGGAUGCUUGUGUGGUCAUAAUUAAUUUGGUUUGCACUGGGGGAUAUUGUUUAUAUUACAAAAGUCAGGCAGGGACAGAGAUGACUCCUUUGAAAUCUGAUCCAUUAACCUUCCCUCCAGAGUCCAGACAAAUGCUUCGUGUCUUUUGACCAAUAUUCAGUGGAUUUUGACAGAAAUGGCAUUUUAAAAAUAUAUUGUUGUCUUGGUUAUAAUAUUUAUAGAGUGCAGUUGGAUGAAUAAGAAAUAUUAAAAAUUAUUUGUGAGGAAGU
This 7937-nucleotide long non-coding RNA is filed under the name Vitis vinifera (wine grape). Its description in RNAcentral is "long non-coding RNA (VVIN_LNC006043)". The record is from RNAcentral. Lineage: Eukaryota; Viridiplantae; Streptophyta; Magnoliopsida; Vitales; Vitaceae.